This is a non-coding RNA of Cinara cedri, 337 nucleotides long. Lineage: Eukaryota; Metazoa; Arthropoda; Insecta; Hemiptera; Aphididae. The record is from the annotation of a GenBank genome assembly.
AUCGGAUUUUGAUGUAAAUCCUUUUCUUCAACCAUUGCGGGACGAUGAACACAUUGUUAUUAAGAACACGAAAAAUCUUAAACGUUGGGAAAGAGAAUAUGGUUAGCUCAAUUUCAGUUUUACUUAAUGGCAUUAUGUUAUAAGGGUUUCACAAAUAAUUUUUAUAAUUAUUAUCAUUUACCUAAUCAAAUUAUAAUACUUGUACGUAGACGAAUACUGGAGAAACUGGGAACUCGAGACCACAAUUAAUUCCGUAAAAGCAAUUGAAAUAGAUGAUUUAAAAAUACUUUGCAAUGAUUCCAAUUACGGUUUAUUCGACCAAUCGAUUGAUCCAAAC